CAAUAAUAUAAUAUAUAAUAAUAAUAAUCGUAUAAAAACCCUAUUAGAAAUAUCAAGUGUUCCUUCAGAGCCGGGAGUAAUUUUUUCCAUUAUGACCAACAACAAAUCAGUAGCUGCCAAAUCGAGCUGACCUACCAGAGUUGCCAUAUCAUCUGCUGCCGAAUUGGAGAUCACAAAGAAAGCACCUCAUAUAACUAAUCGGUAAAGCCGGUGGAGUAAUAGCAGAGCUGACGAAUAGAUCAUCAAACAAAGAUGAUAGCAACGGACCAUUUAAAGGGCUCCUUGGAUUUUCUCUGGAUAUAGAUUGCUUAAGGCACUUGGAGCUGCAUCAAAGCACAACGCCUCGCCAAAAAAGGACGAGGGAUUGCAGCCGUUGGUUUCGGAUUUGACGCUUUUAAAUGUAAUCUAACUAAACCUUACUACAAUAAUAUUUACCAUGUGCUCAAUUAUCAUCAAUUGCCGUUGUUUUAUCCGAUUUGAAAUGCGACUUAUUUGAAAACAAAUUUGUAAAGUAUGUGAAGCACAGCUAAUUAAACAAAAAUUGGAUUGUCAAAUCCCAUCUCUAAAAAUAAUUUUGAAUCAUAUUUAAAUUGUUCCAUGCCAUAACUAACAAAAUACAUUCAUCUCCAUAUACAUAAGUAUAAAACUGACCUGACUGACUGAUUGGUAAAUAUUGCCAAAUAUCACGUUCUUCGCAGAAUGUAAGCUUCCUCUGGAGAAAUUCCGUUUAAAGAUUUUUUGAGCUAAGUUUGAAGUUGGAAU
Molecule: small RNA, 762 nt
Filed under: Drosophila virilis
Lineage: Eukaryota; Metazoa; Arthropoda; Insecta; Diptera; Drosophilidae
Description: GJ26886
Source: RNAcentral